RNAcentral lists this long non-coding RNA (28837 nucleotides) under Gossypium barbadense (sea-island cotton). RNAcentral's name for it is "long non-coding RNA (GBAR_LNC012156)". The stretch from base 10551 to 10672 matches the Rfam family "MIR7504 microRNA precursor family". The record is from RNAcentral. Lineage: Eukaryota; Viridiplantae; Streptophyta; Magnoliopsida; Malvales; Malvaceae.
AUCCAAUCACCAAGCUCCACACCAUCUUUCUUAUGGACCAUGUUUUCUGUACUCCACUCUGCAAUAAUCAAAUAACAUCUUGUAUUCAUAUUUUUUCCCACUAUUAUUAUAAUUGGAUAUGCAAAAAAAAAAUAGCUUCAUCCAUUGAAAGCUAAACAUGUUUUUGGAUAAAAAUAUAUUAAAUUUGAAAAAAUGAAUUUAGACUAUAAUAUUAAAAAAUAUUUAAAAAAUAAAUUGGGUUUUAGUUAAAUAUUUGAAGUAUAGACAUAGAUAGAAUUAAUUAAUUAUAAAUAUAGAUAAAUUUCAACAAAAUUUAUAGAUGCCAUUAAUAUGAUAUGUGUGUGUUGAUCCAACCUGAGGUCUAAUUAAAGCUUUCCAUGUCAGAGUUUACGUUAGAAUUUAGAACACCCUCUAUAUUUUUGCUAUAUUAGACAUACUUAAAUUUUAAACCCCAUAAGAGAAUAUGCAUAUACAUAUACAUAUAGAUAUACAUACCGUAUCGGUUCCAGCAGGGCCUGGUGAAGAAGCGCCGAGGCUGGGAGUAGGGGCCUCAUUUGAUGGAGACGGUGGGCUGGAGGCCGAAGGUGAUAGUGCUGGAGACUUAGCUUUGGUCUUGCUAGGGGCCGGAGCUGGAACCGUGGCAGGAGGAGAAGCCAAAGGAGCUGGUGGUGGGGUAGCUGGAGGAGGAGUAGCAGGAGGGGGAGAAGCAGGUGGUGGGGUAGCCGGAGGUGGAGAAGCCGGUGGGGGAGUUGCGGGAGGUGGAGUAGCCGGGGGAGGAGAAGCUGGUGGUGGGGAGCUAACGGGCGGGGGAGUCGCUGGAGGAGGAGUGGAAACUGGUGGUGGUGAUGAAGUAGGAGGAGGAGAGGAAGCUGGUGGCGGAGAAGUAGUUGUGGGUGUUGGAGGUGGUUGAGUAGUAGGUGGAGGUGUGGAAGCGGGUGGAGUCGGCGGCGCCGGCGUGGAUGUCGGAGGAUUACUAGGAGUAGGAGGAGCUUGGCCUAAAACGCCAGCUACAGCAAUGCAAAACAAAGCUGAUAAGAACAAAAACUUAUUAUUAAGCAUCAUAUUGGAAACAAUGGUGACCCUUUAAUCCUGCACACCCUCUCCGCUUAAACUACGCCCAGCCGUGCAAGCAAAUGAGGGAGAAGAAGAGGCAAGUAUGAGAAAUGAAAAGAUGGUGAUAUUUAUAUAUAGGAUAUGGAAAUUUCCAUAUCAUAUUUCAAUUUAAAAUCCCCAAAACAAAUACCAGCAUUUUUAUUUUAUUACUAAUGGGAAAAUUGCAUUACUAAUCAUAUACAAUAUUCUAUAUUAAUUUAGUGUAAUUUAAUUCUUUCAUUUUUUUAUAAUGUUAUUAAUAGGUCCAAAAUCAAUAUCUCCGAUCGUUAGUUGCUGUCAUUAAAGUGAUGAUACGAAAUUAUUUUUUUUACUAUUAUUCCAUCAUACAAUCAGAGAUAUAGAAAUCAAUCAAUUUUGUUAAACAAAUAAUAAAUUUCAAUCUGAGUCAAAUGCUUAAAGUUGUUAAAAAAAAUUCACGUCAUCACUUUAACAACAUCAACUAAUAGCGUUAUCAAUUUGUACUUUGUAGCUACCAAUAACAUUAUAAAAAUAAAGGGUCAAAUUAUAUAGAAGUAAAGGAUUAAAUCUCUAAUUUCAAUUUAGUAAAGGGACUAAAAUGGAAUUAAACCUAUUAGUGGGGGUCGGAGUUUUUUCCUCGUUUGGUGAGGUAAAAAAAAAAAAAAACCCUAGUGGGGCAUAGUUAUAAUGUCACUUUGAUGAUUAUAAAUGAUGCGUUAGUUAGUCAUACUUUAGGUAAAAAACUGUGAGGUGGGAUUAGUGUAGAUUGAAAAUUUUUAGUGAAGGGGUUAAUUUAUACCUUCAAAAUUUUGCAAUAUUUGGUAGUUCCAUGAAAUAUUCCCCGCUAUUUAUCAACUUUUCAAUCACUCAAAUAGGUUUUAAUUUAGUUUUGUUGUGAAAUUUCUAAUUCAAGCAUACAAUGAGUAGAUUUUAUUAUGGGUCGGGUCGGGUUAUUAUAAAAUUUUAGGUGUAACGUCCCGAAUUUUUGGGCCUAGAAGUUAAAAGAUUUAAGCAUAGGGGCAGUAAGGAGGCCACACAUAAGUGAUUAGUUGUGCACUAUAGUGAUAAGAAUGGGCUUAUUAGUCUAGUGGUUAAAUGGAGUGUUAAUUAAGUUCAAGGUUUUUGGUUUGAGUCACUAUGUGUACAUUUUGGGAGUCUUUUUAUUUUGUUUUUUUUUAGUUAGUGAUAAUAAUUAAUUAUUUUAUUUUAUUUUUAUUAUUUUUCUUUUCUUUUCCACGUUAGUUCUCUCUACUUCUUGGUUUUUUUUUCUUUUUGUUCUUUUUCCUUGGACUUUCAAUUUGUGCAUUCUCUAUGUUUUUGAAUCGUUUGCUUACAGAUUUCGAAUUGUCGCACCUCUAUCGUCUUCUUCGUCGUUCAAUCAGGUGAGGGAUUCAAACUUUAACUACAUUGUUUAAUUUUGCAAAGUUUACGUGCGGCUUUUCUUGAAUAUGUGAUAACCCGAAGGUUUUUGGGUUUUGAUCGUUGGAAGUGAGGAAAAUACGUUAUAUUGUGAUAUGUUCUUGAUGUGGUUAAGGUUAGGGACAGUUUGGGUGGCUAAAACGGUGUUUUCGGGGCUAAUUUGGGGUGGUUUCAUGACCUCUCCGGCAGCUACACGGGCGUGUGCCGUGGUAGACAGUCAUAUGGAUUUGGGAACUAGGGUUUCCAGGCCAAAUUGGAUGCCACACGGCCGUGUGGCCGAUUUGGGGAUUUUGUCGAAAUUCACACGGCUGUGUCCCCUAGGCACAUGGGCAUGUGGGUUUGGAAUUAGGGUUUCAGAGAUUUGAAGUCACACAGCCUGGCCAUACGGCUGUGUGGCUGAUUUUGGGAUUUAGGGAUCCCACACGAGUGUGUGUUUCGUAACACACAACCAUGUCUAGUUGGCACACGGGCAUGUGAGACCCUCACAUAGCCGUGUCUGCCCUGCACCUUAUUUUAGCGAAAUUGGACAGUGAGUUACACAGCCUGUUCACACAGUCGUGUCUCUGCUUCGCACGGGCGUGUGCCUAUGUCACAUGGCCGUGUGCUAUCCUUCACAAGGGCGUUUGAAGCCUCACACGAUCUGGAUUGCUCUACACGGCUGAAGCAUACGGGUGUGUAGCCCUAUCUCGCCAAAUAAUGAUUUUAGGUCAAAUUUAAGUGCAAUCGUGACUCUAUGUAUUCCAACCCUCGACUGAGCUCUAGUGAGGGUAUUUACGACGCUGAUCUGAGUUUGGAUAAUGUGUUAAUUGUGAUUGGUUAUGUGACAUGUUUGAUUCUGAACCCGGGUUAGCUGGGUGAGUGUGUAUGCAACUAGUUCUGUCUGACUGUUUGAAUACGUGUCAUUGAUAUGCGAGCUUAUUUUGCAAUUGCUACUGAAUUCAAGUUACGAGUAUACUUAAGACUAAUUUUGUAACUAACUGAUUGGAUGUGAGCGUCUACUUCUGAAUAAUUGUUUGAGACUAGUAUUCUGAUUGUGUACAUCUGACUGCAUACAUACAUACAUAUGCAUAAACUAUUUUGGGCGGGAUUUUUGAAGAGAAGGUGUUGUAGGCCAAUUUUGGGCCCGUUUACACUUUAGGCCGAACAUACAUCAAACCCAUUUACAAUUAAACCCCAGCAUAACCCACAACCCAAACCCAACAAAUAAACCCAAAACCAAACCCAAAUUUAACCCAAUUCAAAUCCCAUAGACCCAAACCCACAUGUAAGCCCAAGUUGUUAGACCCAACUAGCUUGAUUUAGGGUUUCAAAAAAACUGAAACCCUAACCUACCCCCAGCGCCGCCAACGUCACAUCGCCCAUGCCAGUCCACUUGCACUACCUUUGCUCCACUGUUCAACCACCACCUGCAAAACAAAAGAGCACGCAACAGCAGCGCAAAAAUAGGAAAUAGACAGUGUAUGAACAACAAAAUCGGCUAUAAAGCCGAAUGGAAACCAAUGUAAUAGAAAAUAUUUUCGGUUAUUUUCUUCAUCAAUACAAAAAAAUAGAUUUAAACAUAUACAAGCAAUAAUUCGGGGAAAAUCAAAACACUAGAAUAACACCAAUUGGGCAACCAAAACAUCAAUAUCAAAAGCCUAAGGUGAUUUAAAUCUUUUUAUUUUUAUUUAUUUUUGAAUCAUACAUACCUAUGUAUUUUCAUAAAUAGUAUAAUAAAAAGGAAAAUAAAAGAAUAAAAAAAAGAUAGGAAAUUUUUACCUUUUCCGGCCACCGUGCGACGGUGGCACACGGCGGUCCGGCAACCAGACGUGGACGGCGACCGGCCUUGUGGCCGGAAUUCGCCUCUCCUUCUCCCCUCUCUCUUUUUUUUCUUUGCUAUGCAGAAAAUGAAUUUUUUUUGAAGAUUUUGGCCUUUUUAUAGCUUCCUAAAACGACGUCGUUUUGGGGGUUGCCCUUUAACCUCAAAACGACGUCGUUUUGCCCUGGAUCAGGUCGACCCGACCCUACCCACUCAGGAUCUGAGUGUUUUUGCUCUUAGGGGCUAAUUGCGCACGCGGUCCUUCCGCUUUUUCUAUGUUUUUCAAUCAGGUUUUUUAUGUAUUUUAAUUUGGCCCUAUAAUUAGUUGCGCUUUCCAAUUUGGUCCUCAAUGCUAUUGCGCAUUUUGGGUGGAGAGGCUUAUUUCGUUUUAAGUCCCUCCACUAUUUGUGCGCGUUGAAAUAGGUCCCCUUCCCUUCUUUUUAUUUCAGUUUUUGCCCCAAGCCUUUUAUUUUUAAUUCGAUUCGAUCCUUUUUUUAAUUACUUUAUUAUUAAAAUUAAUUAUUUUAGUAUUAUUGUUAUUAGCACUAUUCAUGUACAUAUAUAUUAUCAUUAUUGUUACUAUUACUAUUAUUAAUCUUCAUAUUAUUACUAUUAUUUCUUUAUUUUUAUAUUAUAUUAUAUUAUAUUAUUAGUUUUUACUAUUAUUAGUAUUAGUUUUAGCUUCAAUUAAUAUUUUUAACAUGCAUAUUUAUAUACUUUUAUGUAACAUUAUUAAUAAUUAUUUUUUAAAAUAUUAUUAUUAUUUUUUAAUACAUGCAUAUAUAUUAUGUGUAUAUUCUUUUAAUAGACAUUAUGUAUAUAUAAUUUUAUAUAUUAUUUUUAACUUUACAUUAUGUAUAUAUUGUUAAUAUCAUAUUAUUCAUAUAUUCUAUUAUAUUAUAUAACUAUAUUAUGUAUGUAUUUUUAACACUAUAUUACGUACAUACUUUCAAUAUCAUUAUUAUUAUGUAUAUAUAUUUUUAAUAUAUAUAUGUGUAUAUUUAUGUAGUAUUAUUAAUAGUUGUUUUUAAUAUUAUGAUUAUUUCUAGUAUAUAUAUAUUAUGUAUAUACUUCUAAUACUAUAUAUUGUAUAUUUCUAAUACCAUUAUUAUUUAUAUGUGUAUAUGUGUAUGUAUUUAUGUAUCGUAUUAUAGUUGUUGUUUUUUUUGUAUCAUUAUUGUUGCUAAUAUAUAUAUAUCAUGUAUAUAUGAUUUUUUUUAUAUAUAUUAUGUAUAUAUCUUUAAUAUUAUAUUAUUUAUAUAUUUAUGCUUACAUAUUAUCUUACGUAUAUAUUUUUAAUAACUAUAUUAUGUAUAUACUAUUACUAUAUAUCUAUUUAUGUUGCAUUAUCAAUGGUUGUUUUUACUAUUAUUAUUAUUCUUAAUAUAUAUAUUAUGUAUACAUUUUUAAAUACUAUAUUAUAUACAUAUAUUUUUAAUACCAUAUAUGUACAUAUCAUUAUUAUAUCUAUUUUUACCCCUAUUACAUUUGUUAUUAAUAUUAGUAUAUAUUUUAUUAUACGUGUAUAUAUAUACUUUUUAAUAUAGUAUUAUUUUUAUAUAUCAUUAUAUUUAUUAUUAUACUUAUUAUUUUCGCUAUUGUUACUUAUUAUUUUAUUUUAAUAUUAUUGUGUAUUAUUUGGUAUACAUAUAUCUUUUUGUACAUAUUGUUAUUUUUUAUUAUACGUAUAUUAGUUUAUUAUGGUAUUAAUACAUUUUUACCUUUUUCUUUUAUUGUAAAUAUUAUUUAUUAUUACUCUAAUAUCCUAAUAUUAUAUUAUAAUACUUUUUAUUAAUCAUCUCAUUAUUUUGCAUCGUUUAUUUACUUAUGAAUUUUUGUUAACAUCAUCAGUUUUUUUUUAUCAUUAUUUUAGAAACAUUUUUAUUUUAAUAAAUAAUGCAACGUACCGAUUUUAACAUUAAGUUUGUGAUUUCAUCGCUAUGUUGGGUGAAUCACGUUGGCUCGUGUUAAAAACGGGACAUCCUUCAAAAAAACCAAAAACUUGAAAUUUCUCGUGUCUUGGUCGGAUCAUGAUUAAAUAUUAAAUUAAACUUGUAUUUUUGAAAAUUAAGACAACGCGUAAUUAACAAGAUACUAAUUUUGGGCGUCGUGAGGGUGCUAAUACCUUCCUCGCGUGUAACCGACUCCCGAACUCUAUUUUCCUCUGGAUUUUCACGUAGACCCAAAUUCGGCCUUCAUUUUUGUUCAAGAAUAAAUUUUCUUUUCUAAAAAGAAGAUUUAUUAGGUGUCUGAUCACACCUAGAAAAAAGAUCGGUGGCGACUCCUUUUCUUUUUAAAACCGAAAUUCCAUUUUCAAAUAAUCGCCUCAACUAGCGACCGGAAAGUGAAAUUUUUACGUUGCUACAGAAGGAAGAUUGACUGAACUGAACUGAUAGCUAAUAUGUUGCCCCUAAUACCCAGAGGGUCAUGGGCGGUCCCAAUACCCUGAGGAUCGUGGUUAAUUUGACUGUACUGCGGACUAUCGCACUGUACUGUACAGAACAUACAUCAGCACCGCUGCUAUCAUUGACUAAACUGGCAAUUUUACUGCAACCUAACGAUAUAGCGGUCUACCGCAUUGCAUUGUACCGCAUGUACGUUAGCUACGCUACGUACUAUUAUCUGAUCUGGCAGUUCAUACUGCAUGUCUGUACCGCGGUUCACCGCAUUGCACAGUACAACCUAUACGCUGGCUUUCCUACGUAAUUUACGUGACUAGCAGUUUAUCUGCAUACUGUUAGCCCAAAUUCCCAGAGGGUCGAUGGCAAUCCCAAUACCCUGAGGGUCAUGGACAAUGCUGAUGAUCAUCGUUGUCGGGUAACCCGGGAUGACAUCAUAUGGGGUGUAGGGUUGGAUGGGCUUUGCGAGGUCCUGUAUGGAGUGUUUGGUGGGACAAGCUUAAAGCUUUUAUGAGAAGUGAUGGGGGACGGAGAGGUGUGUUGGCUGGAUAGGUGGAUAUUUUUAGAACUCAUUUGUACUCAUAUGUAUCUGAUUGAUCUGUUUAACUGAAUUGGAACUUGUGAAUGGUUGAGAAUUAUUGCUACUGUGACUGAAUGUGAUACUGUUCGAUUGAGAGGCACUUGUGCCUAUGUGAAUUUUGUAGAUUCUGAUUGCGACUGUCUGACUGGAUUCUUACUGUGACUGAUUAAGAUUUGUUGCUACUCUGUCUGAGUGGUACUUGUGGCUGAGUGUAUCUAACUGAUUGAGUUAAAACUAGUGGCAGAAUAGCACUAUGUUUGUGUAGCUGAGUGUAAUUUUUAAUAUGCAUUAACAAAUAUCUGUCUGUCGGUACGUCCGUUUCGAACGUACCCUUUGGUUCUGAAUAGCUCUGUAAGUAUGUUUUAUUUCUGAACUGCUUUUAGUUCCCUGUUUCUGUCUCUGUAGUUUAACUGGUUUGAUCUCAAACUGAGCUCGAGUAGCUCACCCCCUCUUUCGUUUCCCUUUUCAGGUACAAUUCUGGAUUAUGUUGAUGGACUUGGCACGCGAAGGUCUCAGACAGUCUCGCAAACAAAUAAAUUAUCAGUUUUGUUUUCCGUUACGAUUUUGUUAUUUGGUUAACUUUGAACUGUAAGGCUUUAUAAUACUGUGGUACAGUUUCCAUUUUAGAUUUUCAUGCAUACGUUUAUUUUGGGUUUUAUAUUGAGUCUUACUGUAAAUUUUAUUGACUGAUUAUUAAAUGGUUUUAAACACUUUUGGUUCACUGAGAUGAGUUAUUUUGUAAAAUUUUCCUACGAUCACUUCGGUGAUCAAUGUAGCAUUCCGAAUUCGGUCUAGACUUUUAGGCCGAGUUUGAGGUGUUACAUUAGGUUUAUUUUUUAGGUUCUAAUUUGACUCGAAAAAUAGGUCUAAAAUUUUAACUAAACCCAGUUUAGAUAAAAAUAUUAAACCCAAGUCCAAACGUAUUAAACUUUUUAUAUUAUUAUUUAUAAAAAAACAAAUUUAAAAAAUAUAAUACAUCAAAUACACUAAAAAUAUUAAAAUAGAUGUUUCCUAAUAAAUUGAAAAUACAUUAAAAAAGUUUUUAUACUUAACAAGCAAAUGCCUUUAAAAUAGUAGCAAAAUUAACAAGCCCAUGAUUAGGUCUAAUGAUGAGUUCUUUUGUUAGUAAUGUUUAUUUUGGUAUUUGAGUUUUUUCUGUCUUAAUUUGGUACUUAAUUUUGACUUUAAUUUUUUUCCAAUUAAGCACUUAAGUUUGGCUUCAAUGUUCAAUUUGGUACCUAAUUUUUUUUGUCCAAAUUAAUUACCUAUAUAUUUUUUACCAAAGCAUGUGUGUCAAACAUUUAUUGGAUCAUAUGAUGACAUUUGGCUUAGGUAUCAAAUUGAAUAUCAAAUUCAAACCUAAGUACUAAAUUGAAACAAAAAACACAAAUACUAACUUAAGUAUUAAAGCUAAACUCAAGUAUCAAAUUGUAUAUUAAUCAUUGGUAAACAAAAUUUCAAGGAUUAGCAUCUACUAAGCUUUCAUUUUCCCUUUUGCAUGUUACAAUUGAUAUUUGUUUAACGCAUAAACUUGGUAUCUUUUUUCCCGUAAUGAUCCAUUUUCAACAAUUUUUGUACACCUAUAUUAAAAUCUGAAAUAAUUUGGUUAUCUUCAACAUACAUAAAGCUGUUAUAUUAAAGUUUAUUUAUAGUUGAGAUUUUUAAAGGAUUUUUAUAAGAUAUUUUUUACACAUUCUUUCCAUGACAUUAAGGAGUAGGGAAGAAAACGUGGUAGUGUUAAAAGGAUCAGUUCAUCUAAACAAGCGGAAAGUCAAAAUAAGAAACAAAUUAAGGAGGAGUAGGGGACUCACACAUCCAUAACAUAUGCAUAUGUUAAUAUUAAAAAUUUACACAACGCAAUUGUAAAUGGUGAGACUUGGACUUCGAUACUUAAAGACCCAAGAUAUCGCCUUAACCAAUAAUGUCAACAAGAUCUCAUUAACUUUUUAGGAAUUUUCUUAACUUCACAUAUAGGGAUUAAAAAAUUACGAUAUAACUCAAUAUAAUAUUAAAGAGUAAAAGUUAAUCAAAAUUUACAUAUAUCACUCAUUUAAUCAUAUGUGUACAGAUAAAAGGAAGCCACUCAUCCUCUUGCCAACCCUACGUGUAACAUAAUUCACUAUAAAUUCCACCUACAUAUACAUACAUACAUAAAUAUAAAAGAGAAUUUCAUGGUCUUGGACUAGAUUGGCUACAAAAUUUGACAAACGGCAUGUGUAGGAGGAUUAAAUUCGAUGAAUUGCAUGAGAGUUUCUCCUUUUUGAUAAUUUAGUACAUGAGAGAAUAAUGAUGAUUGUGGGGGGGGGGGGGUGCUCCAUCGAAAUAGCUGGAAUUUAUUUAUUUUAGUGAACUGGCAAAUGUAAUUUGUACGCCAAGUUAUAAGGUGAAAAAGGGAGAAAUCAUAUAGAUUUGGUUGGUAAUGGUAUGUUGAUGUUGGAACACCUGCGGUGCACCGCCACAAUUAGUAGGCCCCUAGCCCCGCUGUCACCCCAUCAUAUGUGCUUUUGGAUGGAUCCAACAUUUUCGUGUUCUUUCAUUCUUCAACAUCAUCAUUAUUAAUUAGUUACUCUUCAAUUUCUAUAUGUAAUUUGCUUUCUUUUCAUUCAUAGGUUUUCUGUUUUCUGUCUUUGAUUUUGUCUUGUGCACAACUGAUGUCCUCCAUUUUUUUCCCCUUUUGUAGAAUUGGGUUUGUCACUUUAAUAGUGCCCGAAAUUAUUUUAUGGAUUUUUUUCAUCAUAUCAUUUAUAAUCUAUUUUUAGUUAUUUAAUGAUAUUUUAGUAAUUUUUUUAUGUUAUUGACACAUAAUUUUACUAAUUUUUUUACCCAGAACCCUCAAUCUUGAGUUUAGAAUCUUGAACCCCGAACCUUGAACCCUAAACUCAAACAUUAAACUCCAAACCUAAACCUUAAAUCUUGAAACCCUCAAGGUUUAGGUUUGAGGUUUAAGUUCAAAUUCAAGUUUGUAGUUCAGGGUUCGAGGUUUGAAAUUUAAGGUUCGGGUUCAGGGUCAGAGUUCAACAUUCAGGAUUCUAGGUUUGGGGUUUAAGAUAAAAAAAAAUUACCAAAAUUAUAUGUCAAUGACAUGAAAAAAAAAUUACUGAAAUGUCAUUAAAUAAUUAGAAAGGGACCAUGGAUGAUGUGGUGGGAAUGGUCCAAAAAUAAUUUCUCAUUUGUAUGGGAUAUUAUUCAUUAUCUAUUAUAAUUUGAUAUCUCUAUUUUUAUAAUAUUAUUAGGGGAAAGGAUUGUAUGAAACAGUGACGCCAUGUCAUCUGUAUCCCUUUCCAAUAAUUUUAUGCCAUAUCAUUACUUUUAUCCUCAAUUUCAGGAUUUUAUCCUGAAAAAAAUCAAAUCCAAAUUAAAAUCCUGAAAUUCAGGAUAAGAAUAUUGAUGUGGCAUAAAACUAUUGGAAAGGGAUACAGAUGACGUGGCGUCACUGUUUCAUACAAUCCUUUCUCUGUCCAAAUUUAUAACAAUGUUGAUUGCUUCACUAAAAUGAGAAGGUCCAAAAGAGUUAGAAGAUGUUAUUGAGAUUAAUAAAGGAGUAAUUUAUUUCGAGAUAGAUUAAUAUAAUUUAUUUGUGUUUUUUAUUUAAAAAAAAAAGUAAAAGGACGUAGUAAAGGAAUUUUCAUGCAUCAAUAAUUUAUUAUUUAAACUAUGAAAUUUCAAAAAAGAAGAAAUUCAUGUUGAAAUUGAUACUAUCAAGCAAUUUAAAAGUGUAAAAAUUUCAGUAUCAGCUGGAUAUUUAAUGUCAAAUAAACUAAAGAAAUGAGAAACACAAGCCAAUUGUCCACAAUGAUUAACUUGUUCCUAAAAAGAAAGUUGUACAUAGACUUUGCUUAUAAAUCAAUCCAAUUUUUUUUUAUAUAAAAGGAAACAUAUUACAUACUUAUAUUGAGUUAUUUGUACCACAACCCACUUAAAUUAUGAUUUUAAUUUUCGAUUGAGUCUUAGUUCAAUUGAUAUUGGCAUUAUUAUCUGUGGAGGAGUGGAUUCAAGUGCGCUGAAACGCAUUAUCCUUCUAUUUAAAUGUUGGGAAGGAACUAUAGAUUCGAAAGCAGAUAUGAUAAGAACCUAUAAUAAAAUUAAUGUAAUGCCUCCUUUUUCCUUUAAAUCCUACUUAAAACACACUUACUUAUUAUUUGCUAAAAUAUUGACAAAUCUAUAAUUUGAAUUCGAACAUUUAUAAUUCAAUCUUGGUCCCUUUAAUACAAAAAAUGUUGGCUUCACCCUUGAUCAAUUUAGUCAUCAAGUUUUUUUUUUUUAACAUAAAUUUCAAUAUAGAUUCUUAUCAUAUUAGCUCUUUUUGAUACAAUGCUUAUAACUAUCCAUAGCCCUUCCCCAAUCAUUAAAUAGUAGGAUAAUACACUUUAACGUAUUCGAAUCCACAUCCUCUUCUACUGACAACAAUGUCAAUCAAUACAAUUUUAAAUACGAGUGUACUACUUAGAUAAUCAUAUCCAAGGUACACAUACUUUUAAAAUUUGAUCCACACACUUUAAAUAUACCCCACCUCUGAUCUAAUCUAGCAUUUAUCACCUAAGCUGACGGUUAGAGGAACAAAAGAACUUGAUUGAUAUAAUAUCAAUAUUUUAUAGACUCAAUCGUACCAUAAUUAUGGACGUUUUCGCUGAGUUAACUCUAUAUCUAAAUAAGUCAUGGUAAACAUUCAAUAUUAAAAAAGAUAAAGGGAAAGUAUAAUAACCCAAAACACCAAAUUUUGGUUGGUUUAAUUUGCAGCUUUAACCAAUGCUUUUGCAUGAUCCAUCAAUUAGUGAGGAUUUUGAUCUUAAUUGGAGGGUCCCAUUCGGUUAUUAAGCUCUUUUUCCACCCUCAUGAUUGCCAUAACAUGGGCCCUUACCGUUUUACUUUGGAUACCCUUUUAUCUUUGCUUUGCUUUGCUUUGAUUUAAGGUUUUAUACAUAAAUGGUCACUUAAACUAUACCUCAAUUUUUAGAUUUGUCCUUAAAGUUUUUUUUUUAUCAAGAGUGGCCCCCACACUAUCAAAUUUAUCUCAUUUUACCCAAAAAGCGUACAAUAUCCAAUAAAAAUAUUUAAAAUGUGACGCGUGUCACAUUCUUAUUGGUUAAUAUCAUUUUUUGAAUAAACAAAAAUAAAAUUAACAGUUUAGCGAUCACUUUGACCAAAUAAAAAAGUUUUAAGGACUACUUUAGGAAUUUAGAUAUAACUUAAGAGUUAUUUUAUUAAUAAAGCUUUGAUUUAUUCAUCAAUUAACACUGAAAGAGUUUUCCUUAAUUUACUCAAAUGGUCUUUUUGUUUGUAUCACCUAACAUUUUGAAGAACAUCCUUUCUCUGUGUACCUCAUACAAUUCGUUAAUACGAAAAUUUUAUGAUUUUUUUAAAAAUAAAUUUAAUUGUCACGUUGCAGGUUACAAAUACUUUUAAAUAAGGGCUUUUUUCAUACAAGAAUACCAAUUAAAAAAUAUCUUCAAAGGUAUAUCAGUUAUACUCAGAUCAAAAUGUUUAAACUUAAUUUAUCUAAUUUCUUCGGCAGGGACCUAACCCAAAAUUGGUAAAAUUAAAAUUAGAUCUUUAUAAUUUUGAAGCAUUAAAAUUGAAUUUUUUUUAAAUUGUAAAAUUAUAAAUUUAGCCCCUAAAAAAAUUAUAAUUCAACUUCAGCCUCUAAAAUUUUUUCCUCUAACUUCAUCUCCCCAUAAUUCAAUAUAUUUAAAAAAAUUUGUGACUGACAUUACCAACAAAAAAUAUAUUUAUAAUUAGUAUUUAAUAUACAAUUAAUGAAAUGUUUUAAUUCUAUAAGCAAUGUUCAAAAUUUUCAUAUAUCUCAAUUUUUAAUAUUUUUUUUAUUAAAUCAUGAAUGAAAUAUAUAUUACCUUUCAGAUUUUACUUGUAGAGUCUAAUAACUAUAUGACGCAUUAAAUCAUUAUACAUAUAUAAGGUCAAGUGGUCCAUAGGUAGCUUAGAGUACAAGGGAUUAAGUUGAGGGUCUCUUAUCAUUUUCCCCAAAUGUGAAGUGAUGUUAACUGCUUAGCUUUCUCCUCUUGCCCCAUUCAUUUUCCUUCCUUUCCACAAUAUAUAUUGUAUAAGUAUUUAUGGGUAAUCGAUUGAGUAUUUACUCGAUUAAUAUGAGUAUUAAUGUCAAUAGAGGAGGACGUAGAUUUGGCGCAUUAUUCUUCUAAUCAUGGGUUGAGAGGCUAUGAGUAGUUUUAAAUAUUAUGUCCAAAAAAAACAGAUAUGAUUAGAACCUAUAAUAAGAUUAUUUAAAAAAAUAUUUAUGGGUAAUCAGUUUAUACAAUUUCGAUUAAAUGUAUAAAUCCAAUCAUUAAUCAUUAAAUUGUUUUACUUUAUGCCAUAGUAUUGUUUUAACUGCAUAAGCAUGUGGGUUAAUGAAAACUACUUAUAGUAUCUCAAUUAAAUGUAAUCAACAACCUCAACUCAUAUCUCCCAUCUCUCUCACUCUCAAUUAUAUAACCUAUUAAUAAUUAACAUUAAUAACCCACUUUCAAGUAGAUCUCAGGCUACCUGCCAUGCCAAGCCUAAAGCUUAUAAGAUGCUUGAAAAGGUUUGCACAAAUAUACAAGAAUAAGUAGGAUAAUGGUUUGGGCAAAAAUUAAGCUUAAUUAUUUAAAUUAUAGAUUAAAUUUAUCGAUAAAUCAUGUUAAGCGUAAUGAUAAGAUAUAUUAUACUCUUAAGAAAAGAAUGUAGAUUCAAAUACUAGAAACGAUAUUGUUAGGAAAAGUAAUCACAAAUCUCAAACAUGAAUCAUAAAAUAAACAUAUAAAAUACUAAAAAAAAUCGAAUUUAAACUCAUUUAAAAUUGUUGAAACAUGGAUAAUUUAACUCAAUAUUGCAACAGGAAUUUCGAUAUAGUUUCUAUAAAAUUUAGUGUUACAAUAUGAUUUCCCAUAGAAGUGUGAUAAAAUCAAUAAUGUUGACUUGUAUUAUUGCAUUAAGUAGUGCAUGAAAUGUAGGAUUCUAUUGUAAAAGAGAAUUAGAUAAAAUUGUAUAAAGUGCAUACUAAAAACUGUUUUGGAGGCUUUAAAGAAUUCUAUUCGCUUAAAAGGUAAGAGUCUACUUCAUCAGCUAAGGUUUACAAUGUAGGGUAAGUGUUCAAUCGAAUUAAGUGAAAAAAUUUUGAGUUUAUCGAGUUGAUGAGUCCUAUUUUAUCAUACUAACUUGAUUUGAAAUUUUCUCGAAUCGAGUCGAGUAAAAUGAAAUUCAAGCCAAAUCAAAUCAAGUGAAAUUAUUUGAGUUAAAUUAAAAAAUUAAACAUGUCAAAUUAAAAUCUUGUUAUAGUAUAACUAAUUUUAUGUUAGAGCACAUAAAUUUGAAAUCACAUAUAUUUGAAAACUUUUUCAAAGUAAAAUAAGAAAAAAAAUAAUUUAAUAUAAUAAACUUAAAUUAUUAAUUAACUUUUAUUUAAGUCCCCAAAAUUAUUAUUUUAAAAAAAAUUAAAUUUUUAACUUUCUUUAUAUACUUUAUAAUUUUUUUAAAAAAAUAUAAAAUUUGGAAUUUUUAUAAAUAUUUUGAAUUUUAAAAAUUAUUAUGAAAAUUUUGAAAUUUAUUUUGUAUUUUUUGUUGAAAGAGAUCAAUUUGCUUUUUUUUUUAAAAUUAAUAGGGACCAAAAGGGGUAUUUAUACCAAUCUAUUAUUCGAGUUAUUCGAAUUGUAAAAUUCAACUUGACUUGAACUCAGAACUCGAAUUACUUAUUCGAUUUAAUUCGAAAAAAUUGAAUAAGAUUCAAUUAACUUAGAAUUCGAUUUUUAUUUUAUUUUUUUGAUCAAAUCGAGUUUUGUUCACCCCUAAUAACUUGUUAGCAACUUAUGCAAGAAUUUUUUAAUUUUAAAAUAAAAGCUAAUAAGAUUAUUUUAUCUUGAUAUUAAAUGCUAUUUAUACAACAUAUAAAAGAUGGUGGAUACACACAGUUGGGGUAGACUUUUUGAGUGUUUCAUUUUUCGGGUUGAGGGAAUAUUUUGCAAGGUAAAUACACCUUGAUACCCUAGGUAUUAUUUGGAGAAUUUUAUUCACUUGUAUGCAAAGAUGUUUGCAAUAUGUGAUAAUAUUUUGGGAGAUUGGAUGCAAACAAUUGCAUACUAGUGAAACUACUUUUUAUCUACAUUUUGCAAGAUAGAUACAUUAUAAUUAGAGGUGUCCAUAAGUCGGAUUGGAUCCAAUCAAAAUUUUAUACCCAUUUGUCAGGCUAAAAAUAUUAAAAUUCGAGUCCCAUCUGGCCCGUUCGUAUUAAUUUUUUUAUAUAAUUUUUUAAAAUAUAUAUAAUACAUCAACAAUACUAAAAACAUUAAAAUAAAUGUUAAAAACAUUAAAAUAAAUGUUCCCCAACAAAUUGAAAAUAAAUUUACAAAUUGAUUAAUAAAUUUUAAAAAAAUAUGUAUACUUAAAUAACACUAAGAUAUGUAUAACUUAACAAGCAAAUACCUCUAGAAUAGUAACAAAAUUAAAAAUAAAACAACAGUAAUACAAUAUCCAAAUAAUAACAAUAAAAUAGUAGCAAUAUAAUUGUGAAAUGGUAGCAAAAUAAUGAAAAAGAAGAAGAAAAAAAAGAAAAAAAUUACAAUUCUUUUAUUUUGCAUAUUCGGGUCGGCUAUUUUCUAAACGGACCUUAUUUUUCAGCCAAAAAAGUCUUACCUGAGGCUCAACCCGUUUUCUAAACAAGCCUUAUUUUUUUGCCUAAACACAUUUUUCGGGCCUAUAUUUUUAUCCAAACCCUCCCACUUUUCAGGUCGGGCCACAUGUACAGGUUUAACCAUGAUAUAUUAGGUAUUAUUAUAAACUACUAAAUACUAAAUAAAAAAUAACAUUUAAAAUUAAAAAAAUGAAAAGAAAAAAAAACUUAAAUGAAUAUAUACAAUGUAACAAGGUACAUAAACCUACAUUGUGACAAGUGUCGCAACUUUAUUUUUUUAUUUAAUUUCUAUAUUGUUUAUCUAUUAAAUAAAAUUAAAAUAAUUUAAACACAAUUUUAUCUUAAUGUAUUACAAAAUUUAAUUAAAAUAAAUGAAAAUUGUUAUUUGGAAUAUAUGGAUUUUAAAAAUAAUAAUAAUUUUCAUUUAAAUAAAUUUUACAAAUAAUAUAUAAUGCUGAUUAUAUAGUUUUAAAUAAUAUUUUAAUAUAUGAAUUGUUAUCUACAUAUUUAUUUAAAUAUAUUACAAGAAUUAAAACUAUUUAAUAACAUAUUCAUCAUAAAAUAAAACGAGAAUUAUAAAUUAUUAUUAUUAUUAUUUUAAAAUAUUUAUUUAAAUAAAACUAUAUGAGCAUAGGUUGUAACAUUCUACAUAUUUAUAUAGGUAAACCAUCAUGAUAAAAACUAUUAUCAUAAAAUUUUGCACUUUUUAUUAUAUGAUAUGUAUAAAAUAGUUCAAUUAGAUAUGAUUAAUAAUAAUAUUUAUGCUCAUAAAAUUAUCAAAUUAUAUAUUACAAUGUAUUUAUAAUGGCUCAAAUAUUAAAUAAUGGUUUACGGGUUGUAAUAUAUAAUAGUUCAAACAUAUUAUAAAUUUGAAAUAUAAUAUAUAUUAUAUUGAAUUAUUAUUAAUAGUAGAUAAUACUGUUAUAAUAAUUUAUAGUAGUAAAAGUAAAGGGUGAGCUAACAAUUCAGUGUGUAACUCAAUCCAAACAAUCAGCACAAAUACAGAUACAGUAACAAAGAUGAAUAUAGAUACAGAUAUAAAUCCUACUUCAUCCACUACACACCAUAUUUGUUCAUCCCUAGACAUCAAUUAGAGUAUUAAAUACUCAUGCAACCUUACCCACCUAGAAGUGAGCGUAUGUCACUUUUCAGAACAGUGCAAUCAAGCUACCAGAAAUAAUGUAAUAAUCCGCCAGAAUUAGAUAAGUGUGGUCAAGCCAUCAGAACAAAUAUGUGGUUUAAACCACCAGAUAAGACAGAUCAUUAAAUUGUUAACACUUCCUCCAUCAUAUUAUUAUCCCACCUUAAUGCAUAUGCAAACAUUAAUCAGGUAACAAAUGCAUAUAUAUCAUACACGCUAUACGUAUCAGAAUAUACUAUCAUGCUUUUAGAAAUUGCACAAACAGAAUAUUAGAUUUCAUAUCUAUAAGUCAUACAUAACACAUUAUGAAACCUACAAAGUGGCUAAUCUCGAAUCGUACUUUAAAUACGGCCUAACUAAAUUUUAUAGAAAAUGAGCACACAUGCCCAUGUGACCCACACGGUCUGGCACACGGCCUCACACAUACUCAUGUGGCCCACAUGACCCACUUAACUUAGCCCAUGUGGCUCACAUGGUCGUGUGAUUUACACGGUCUGGCACACGGCCAUGUGGUGUCGACAAUGAAUUUUUUGGCUUCGCAUCGUUCAUUGUUUUUCGAGAUUAUCAUUACAGACUUGGUCGUUUUUCGAUACUAACACCACGAAAAAGAUUCCAGAACUUAAAACAACAUUUAACACGAACAAUUUAGCAACGAUACACUAAAUAUAAUCCAUUAAUUCAACCACAACCACUAACAUUAGGCCUUAACAAGCUGGAAAUCAGUCUUUUGGGCAUUCGAUUACUUACCCAGAACAGUAGUGACAGUCCUAAAAAUCUCCUAAUUCACUAGAAGGAUGUCACAUGCCUCACAAACUUCUCCUAUUGAAACAUCAAAACAAUCAAAAAAAUGAAUAUUGCAUAAUACUACAACCCCUAUUCGUCAUACGGAAACGAAUUAACCUUACCGAAGAAUGCACUUACAAGACUUACACUUAAACAAAAAUAUGAAUUCUUUGCUCGAACACGGCGCUACGGUGAUUACAUGCAAGAAAAUCAAUACCACAAGGAUUUAAACAUUGGACCUCUAGGUAAGCUGAAGUUUUACCACUAAAUCAACAAGCUCAUUCUUAUCAUUAAUUUAGCAAAAAUAAUAUAUAAGCUUAAUAUCCAAAGUCGGUGGUUGGGACAAAAAUAACAAAAAUUUAAAUGAAAGAAUUUGAACCUAGAACAUCACACACACUAACACAACACAUAACCAAUAAACUAAAUUAAUCACUUUAACAAUAUUUAACAAUUCAAAAAUAAGAAUUUUGAGACGUUGCUAAAUUGUAUCAUAUAUCAUAUAUCAAACUUACGAUACAUCAUUCAUAAAAAUUAUAACAAACUUACGAAAGGAUUUAAUGAUAUUUAAUUCUUAACGGGUAAAAACUUAUAUCAUAUAUCAUAUAUAUUUAUAUAUUAAGAAUUUGAAUCAUUAAUUAUAUAUCUAUAUAUUAUAAUAGUUUCAUCUUUCAAAUUUUCUUCCUCAUAAUUAAAGCAUAAGUUAUAUUUAUAAUAUCAUAAAUAUAUUAUAUUUCAAAAAUUUACACACAUAAUCAACCUAUACAUCGCUCGUGAUAAGAAAACUAAUUUAUAAAUAUGAAUGUACAAAAUUCGAGCUAAAUCUAGCUUCAAUUUUCCGGUGAACUUCUUUUGACUUUAAAUCUUACUUUUUCUUCUUCUUUUUGGCAAAAUAACUUAUUUGGCACAAAAACAAAAGUCGUUUUAACUUUUUUUUUCACCAUUUUUUAGCAUUUAAACUUGCAUUUUUUUGUUAAAUCACUCCAAAAUGAAUGGAAAAGUUAACAUUUUUAACUUUGCUGAUGUUUCGUACAUGUGGAUAACACAUCAACAUUUAAUAAAUCUUAAAAAAAUUAUAAAAACUAUUUUUAAAAUUUAAAAUAUUAAUAUUAUAAAAAAAUAUAAAUAUUUUUAAAAAUUAAUUAAAUGCUGAUGGGUCAUCUACGUAGCAAUCCAUAUGUAUGUCAUGUCAACAAAGUUAACAAAUAUUAAUAUUUUCAUCCAUUUUAGGAUGAUUUAACAAAAUAUAUAAAUUUAAAGACUAAAGAUGCGAAAAUAAUUAUAAGACCAAAAUGACUUUUUUUUUUAAUUGAAGGACGAAAUAAAUGAUUAUGUAAAGUUGUGAAUAUUAAUAUUACCAUAACAAUCAUAAUUCGCUUAUGGUUUAUUCAUUUUUAGGGUUUUCCUUACUAGGAGUCUAGGAUACUUGAAGGCAGAUAUUAUUAUUAUUAUUAUUAUUAUUAUUAUUAUUAAAUUUAAACAUAUUUUUUUAAUUAAGGAACAAUAAUUUGGUCCGGGUCGGUCCUUGGACAGUAUUGUAAUUUCCCAAGUUAUUAACAUUUGUUUAGGGUUUCUCAUAGUUAAGAAUUAAGUGGGCUAAUUUCCCAACUUAGAUUUGAUGAUACGAUUAAAAAAUAGGAAAUAUCAAAAUAUGAUCAUAUGAAUUAUUAAUACUAGUUUUUUUUUAUCUGAGUAAAUAGAUAAUUACUUGAAUCAAUUUAAUAAAAAUUAAUAUACUAAAAAAUACAAUUCCAUCAUUUUAAUAGUUUAUAUAUUUAUAAUUUUUAAAGAAUUAAAUUAAUAUUUUAUCAUUUUAGGGAGUUAAAAUUUAAUUUUACUAUUAUUAAUUUAAAAUUUUAUAAAUUAUAUGUACAUACCCAAUUUUGCCAAACCCAAAUACAUUUCAAACCCUUACUAACCCAAGUCUGUUUACAAUAUUUUCAGCCCAAUUAGCCUAACCCAAGUACUACUAGCCCAAUACCCUAAAUUAACCUAGCCCAGCAGCCCAAAACAAAUUAGCAGAGAGGAAACCCUAAUUCCACUUGCCUCCUUACUUGCGCCGCACGCUCUUCUGCCCUUGGCUACCACGCCCCACUUUCUUCUGACACCAGCACUGGCCACCUGCUCCACCAUGCCUCUGCCACCGCCGUUCGCCCAUACCCUGCAAAAUGAAACAAAUGCCAAGACAGAAGCAGACAGCACAAGCAGUAACAGAGAAUAAAACAAACAAUACUUUAAUAUGGGAAUCGGCUAUAAAGCCGAAAUGGAAAAUCUGUAAAAGGGGGGAUUUUUGCUAUGAAAACAAAGAUUUUCUUUCAAUUUUAACAGAUUGAAUACAAGAACCAUUCGAAAAUACAUAUACAAUCAGGGGCUCUAACACCAAAUCGGAGAAUCAAAUCUAAAACCUAAGGUGACUUUUCUUUCAUUUUUUCUUUACUAUUUUGAGUUUGUUUUUUACACAAAAAUACUAAAAAAAAUAACAAAACACAUAAAAACAUAUAUAUUAUUAAGCAAAAAAAAAGAAAAGAAAAUUUACCUUUUCCGGCCACCGUGCACGGUGGCCGACGCCGACGAGUCUCCGGUAACCGUCCGGCGACCGGACCCCUGGCCGGAGUCCCACCGAAAAUCGCCCUCUCCCUCUCCCUCUCCCUUUCUUUUCUUUUUUUUCCUUUCCCCAUCCCCAAAUGAAUUUUUUUUUAAUUUUUAACUUAUAUAGGGGACCAAAACGUCCCCCCCUUUAAUAAAUAAAACGACGUCGUUUUGGACGCGGGUCGGGUCGACCCAACCCGCACCAGGGCAGGAUCCGCGUGUUUCUUAGCGGAAGGGAAAUUUGCGUGCUCGGCCUUUCCGCUUUUCUGAGAUUUCACAAUUACGUUUUUUAUGUUUUGUAAUUCGGCCCUAGAAUUUUUCAUCGUUUUCAAUCUGGUCUCCGUGCUGCGCAACGUUUAGAUAGUUGGGAUUAUUUUCAAUUUUGGUCCCUCCAGGUUGCGCGUGCCUCACAUUUUGAUCCCUCCUCUUUGUUUCCUUUUUAAAUUGACCCCACAACAUUGUUUUUAAUUUAAUUUUAGUCCUUUUUCGUUAUUUUUAUUUCCUUAUUAAAUACUCUUAUUAUUUUUAUAUUAUUAAUUUUAUUAUGUAUUAGUUUAUGUUUUAUUAUACAAUUAUAUAUUUAUAAUAUGUAUACACGCUUAAUAUAUUUGUAUAUACUUAUAUAAUAUUAGUACUAAAAGUUUUUAUUUUAAUAUGUAUAUAUUACCUAAAUGUUUAAAAUUAUAUAUGUACGUAUAUUCUUCAUUAUGUUCUUAAUACUAUACUUUACAUAUAUCGUACAUUUUUGUUUCAAGUUUGCUUUCAUGUAUUGUUUAGUCAAAAUUGUUUUAUUACUCAUUUUAAAAUUGUUUCACAUACUUUGCUUUAAACAUUAUAUCUCUUUCAUAUUAUGCACGUCAUUUUUAACUCUAUAUUGUAUAUCACAAUCUCAUAUAUUAUGUAUGUACUUCUCAUAUUAUUAGUUAUGUAUAUAUUCUUUACAUUAUCUUAUGUACAUAUAUUUUUCAUAUUAUAUUAUAUACCUAUCCUUUUGAUACCAUGUUGUAUAUAUUUUCAAUACUAUAUUACAAAAAUUUUUACCAUAUUAUGUAUGUUAUGUAUAUACGUUUUAAUGUUUUUGUAUUAUCUUAUAUGUAUAUUUUAAUAACUAUAUGAGGUAUGUAUUUUUAACACCGUAUUAUGUACAUAACUUUCAACAUCAUUGUAUACACACUUUUUAAUACUAUGUUAUUUAUACGUUUUUAUAGGUAUCGUGUACAUGCUCUAAAUACCAUCAUGUAUAUAGUUUUUUAUUGUUACUAUUAUGUAUACAUAUAUAUAGUAUCAUUAAUAGUUCUAAUAUCAUGCUCCCAUCACUUUGCUAACUAUUAUUAUAUGUUUGUAUAUAUUAAUUCUUAUUUCGCGUUUAAUACUAUUGUUAACAUAUUUAAUAUCGCAUAUAUGGCCAUUGUUUUAAUAUUCUCGUCGUAUUUAUCAUUUAUUUCAACAUAUUUCUAGCCCUUCCAUUUGUUCACUUUUAUUUCAUAUCAAUUUUGCUUGGCAUUUCUUCGAAAAUCUUAUUCUCGUUUUCUAAUUAAUUUCAAUAAUCGAGGCAACAUAUCGACUUAACAUUAAGUCAUCGAGUUCAUCGCUAUGUUGGGUGAACGUCAAUUGACACGUGUUAAAGCGAUAUACCCUUCUCAAAAAACGGAAUAAACUAAAAUUUCUCGUUUUUUAAUCGGAUCACGACUAAAUUUUACAUUGAACCCGAAUUUUUAAAAAUCAAGACAACCUGUGUUUAUGAGAUACCAAUUUUUGGGCGUCGCGAGGGUGCUAAUACCUUCCUCGCGUGUAACCGACUCCCGAACCUUAAUUUUUCUCUGGCUUUUAACGUAGACCUAAACUCAGUCUUUUUCUCGUUUUUAAAGAAAAAAGAAAUUUAUUAGGUGUUCGAUCACACCUAGGAAAAAGGAUCGGUGGCGACUCCCCCUUUUAUUUCAAAAUCGAACUUCAGUUUCCAAACUUUUUCACUAGAUCGCCACAAUUAGCGACCCCGAAACCAAUUUUUACGUCGCUACAUUAUAAAUGAGACUAAAUAGAAAAUUUUCUAUUUUAAGAAGGCUCAAAGACCUUGCCAGCCUCCUUGACUUCACCAUUGAAAUCUAGAAUAUACUCCUCACUAUGCUUUGGAAAAUUAAAGAUUUGAAAUUAUAUUAUUGUGUAAUAGAUAUAAUUAAUUUUUAAAUAUAUAAAUAAAGUUAAAGUUAAAAUUAAAUCACUGUGAUAAAUUGUAUAGAAUAUAGAUGAUUUAAGACAUGAUGCAAAUAAAACAUAGUUAAAUAAUUAAUAUAUAGCAUGCCAUAAUAAUAAAGGUGAAUCUAGAGGGUUCACAGGGCUUGAUUCUCCUAAAAUAGAAAAUUAUUAUUUAGAUUUUUUUAAAAAAUUUAAAAUUUUAAAUUAAUAAAAAUAAAAUUGUACUUUGAUUUCCCUAAAAUUAUAAAUUUUUUAUUCAAUCCUUUUAAAAAUUAUAAAGAUAUAAACUAUUAAAAAUUAAAUUUUCAUUUGGCCCCCUAAAAAAAUAUUCUGGCUUCGCCCCUGCAUGAUAAUAAUAUUAAUACAACACAAAUACACAAAAAAAUCAAAAUCUAUACAUAACAAUUAUUUACUUGUAUAAUUUUAUAAUAUUUUGAAUACAAAGAAAUAACACAAACAAUUUUCUCUAAAUUGAAUCACUCAAAUAAAAUAUUUUAAAUAUCUCAUGAUUUUAAAAUAUACUAUAAGGAUAAUUUUUUAAAAAUAAUUUAUUAUGAUAAAUCAUAUAAAUUAAAUAAAGAAACAAUACUAAUCCAACAUAAAAGAAAUGUAAUAAUAAUAUCAUAAAAAAUAUGUUCUUAGUUAAUGAUUUAGUCUGUACUUUGAGAAUUAGAGAAAACUCGAGUUCGAGAUUCAAUUAUAUAUGAGAAAAGUAUUAACAACCUCACAAUAACUUAAUACAUGUUGUUUUAAAAUUUUGAACCCAGUAUUUAAAUAUGAUCCCGUAAAAUUUAAGAAUGCAUGAAAUUUAUUAAUUAAGUGAAUUUGAUUUUGGAAAUAAACAAAAUACUCAAUUUAAUUUUAUUAUAUUUUUUAAAAUUUACUCACAUUAUAACAUUAAGAACAACAAAUGAGAGCGUAUCCAGUAAUUUUGGCAACAAUCUCUUUAAUUUUCGUAAUGCUAAAAUAUUACCUUUUUUUUUAAAAUUAAAUCGAUGUAAAGAAAUUCAUAGGUGCAUUUUCAUAUAAAUAAUUGAAUUAUUCAAAAUUACAUGCAUUUAGAGAUAAAUAUUUUACCCAGCACUACGCUUGUUCGACUCGUAAAAGGCAAAAAUUAGGAUUCAAAAUUAAAUUAUAAUUUUUAUGAUAAUAAAAAUUACUUAGGACAUCAUGUUCUCAAAAACUCAAACCUUUAUCAACAUAGAAUUGAAUCGAAUAUCGUUUUCAUCUUCCCAAGUUUCUAUACAUAAACUAUGAACACGGAAUUAAACAAUACAAAAAUGGUAUUCUUCUUCCAUUGACAUUUGAUAUCAGCUUCAGAAAAGGCAAAAGACAAGAAUAAAGAGAUAAAACAAAAGAUUAAAUCAAUCCUAUAUCCUUGACUGACAUAAUUUACCUUAAAAACUCUAUACUUUAACCAAUCCCACCUAUAUGAUUUUUCUGUUUUCCUAUACAUAACUUAAAGCUUACUUGGAACCAAGUCAUUGUAUUGUAUUUCAUGUAAUUUUUUGAAGCAGAUCCUCAUCUCCUCCAUCUGCAUUGAAGGAAUAGAUGUCGACCGGGGCCACCGUGCAACCCAUGGCAUUCUGCUUGGUUCUUUUAUUACAAAAGGAGCCUCGGUGUUUGUCUAGAUAGAUUACAAUCACGGUGAUAUCGUCGUGAAAAUGGCGCCUUAUCCCCUUUUUUAUUUUCUUGAUGUCACUGUAUCUCAUCUCCCUUUUCUUUGCAACUUCUUGAAGUACAGCUCUUACCAAUCUCCUGGCAAUACCCUGCAAGCAUUCAAGCAAACAAAUAUCAAUAAUGAAAUGCAUUGCAUUUCCAUAGGUUUCAUUAGGUUAAUGGAAGAACACGAAUACUCACGGCUCUCGGGUUUUUGAAAACGAUGUUUACAGCAGCUUCAUCACUCAACUGCUCCCAUAGGCCGUCUGAUGCAAAGAUGAGGAAUUGAUCCUGUGGCUUAAGCUUUCUAAUAAGGAUCGUUCUGCUGUAAUAACCGGCCUUUUAAGAGGAACAGGGUUUCCGAACUGCUGGAAGAUCGGAUCUCUAUAAAACUCAGGUUUCUUCAGGUAAACAUCACCUAUAGAUCUUGACACCUGAAAUAAGAAAAACAAAAAUGGCUUAGACCAGCAUGAUCACUCACAUGCUCAAAGAUCAUGUAUUAAUCAAUCAUCUCCAGUUCUACAAUCCAAUGUAAGAUAAAAGCUAAUGCAUCUUAUUCUCUCGAUUCGUGAAUGGAUCGAAGUAAAAAGCUCAACUUGCCUACCAAAGUAAAGGGGAACAACAUCACAAAAAGAGAAGAAAAACAUAAAAACGAGAGAGCAUCGAUUCCUUGCAGUUACAUAAGCCUAGCUUUAUGCUUCAGGGGCCUGCAUUUGUCCAUCUCAUGCAUAUAAGGCAUACUAUAUGGAAAAUAGCAGCAUGAAACAGUACUGGAAAUCAGACCAAAAUAUUCUUGGAAAAGUCGAAAAACUCAGAAUUAUAACCAUUUUUUAGAAUGAACUUCCAUUCUAAUGCACAAUGUAUACAUCCAUAAUUAUACCUCUCCAUCAAGCAAAAAGAAACAAAAUGGUUGCAAGCAAUGCCUACGAAGAGGAAGUUAAUUGGCAACUAAUUCUAGAAUCAACAUAUUGAUCAUUUCUCAAGCAGACUAGUUUUGAACUAAACGAUUAUAAAUCAACUUGUCAAUAAAAUUGUACCUGGAUUAUGCCCUUAAUCUUCCAAACUCCGCGGGUGUAAACGACUAUAUGUGAGUCAUCUGGAUGAAGUUCCUCGACCUCCUUUCGAACUUCCUCGACUCCAACAUUAUGAUCAGUUGACAACCUCUCUGCCACUACUGUGUUUUCCUUAUCCCCCGAAGCUUUCCUGCCAAGAACAGCUCUCGAGUCACCGAGAUUCGCCACGUAUAACACAUCAUUCGAAAUUGCACCAACUAGACAGCAUGAUCCAACCGAAGCAAUUUGAGGCCUCACGGACAAUGAUCGCUUCACCAAACGCAAAAACUCCUCUUCAGUGGCAUUGAAUGCCUUCUUUAUCACAUCUGCAGAUAAUCCCCCUUGUUCUGUAGCAAAUUCUACAAUGAAUAAAGAAAAAAAAAUUUAAGGGUCUCCAUCAAUCUUUUUUAGAAUCCAAGUGCAUGCUUAUCACUGAAAAGUGUGCAAAACAAAGAAAAAUAAAUGACCUGAAAAAUGCCAAAACUUGAACUACACUUACUAAUUAUUCCGAAAAAUUCAAGUCCAGACAACCCCAAGUAGAUACAAAUUUAGACAAAUAGUUCAUAUUCUCUUUUCCCAUCAAAACAUAGUGCUACAUGACUGUGGAGCGGGGCAAGAUAGAUAUUGUCAAAUUCAUUACUGUUCCAUUGCUGGCAUGAUCUGCCUCGACCCCACUCUGCUUCGCCAUAAAUGUUAAAACUUGAAUAUCAUUACUUUUAAUAUGCAUAAUCUAUCAAUACCUCACCUAAUAUAUACAUUUUUACUCGUUUUAAAAGUUAAAUAUAUAAGAAUAGAGCAAAUAUCAAAAUUAAGUGCCCCAUUGGUCCCUCUUUUACUGUUAAAAAUUAGAAAAAGAAAGUCUAUUUGGAGUCAUCAGUUCGAAAUCUAUCAAACUAAAUACAUAUUUGAUGAUUCCAUAGACAACUUAUGAUUUUCCUGACAAGGUCAUAUCUAUAUACAUACAUGAUCACAUGUUCAUUCAUGUCAUACAUACAUAGGAAUGUUGAAAUAAAGAGGGAAAAAGGGAAUUACUGUGGAGAAAAGGGAAGAGAUGUUUGUUAACAAAACGGGAAGCUUCCGGACCGCCAUGACCAUCGUAGACGCCAACGUAGGUAGCAAAAGGAGAGGUGAAGACUUGGCUUUGAUCUUCGAGACAGUUGUUAGCCUGCACGACGGCGAUGGAGAAAUCACCGGAAGCGUGGGGUUUAAGGUCAGCGUGCCACAUGAGAGCAUCCCCACCAGCUCUAACGCCAAGACAACGUUCGAGCGGCCUGGAAAGGGACCGUAACAUCAUCAUCAUCGUGUUUAAAAAAUAAUAAUAAUCCCUUUAUAGGGGAUUUGAUUAAAUGAAAACCUUUUCGAUGGUUUCAAUGGGGGGUUUCACUUUGGGGGAGAGGAAAAUGGAAAGAUAUUAAGAGGGAAAGAGAGAGUAGAGAGUGGGGUAAAGUGAAUGGAAAAGAAAUGCCGCGUAAAGAGAGGCAGAUGAUGAUGACCAACGACCCCCGAUGCUUGCUGUAAUUACUUCCCACUCUACGCGUUAACCACCCUUUUUCUUCUUUUUUGACUUUUAAACCCAAAUCCUUUUCUUUUAUUUUUAAUUUAUUGAAUGGAGACACUUAGGUCUAAUUUAAUAUUUCAAUUUUUAAAGAAUCGUAUCAGUGAUUGAAUUAUGUAUCUACUUAUUCUCGAUUUAAUCGGUUAGUUUAGCUCAAUUUAGGCCUGUUCAGAUUAUUCAACUUAAAAAUUUGUUCGAAAAGUGAGAUGAUUUAGGUAAAAAUAUAUGUUUAAAAAAUAAAUUUUAAUAAAAAAAUAAGGUAUAUUUUUUAAAUAGAUUGAGUCUUAAUAUUUUUUUGUUCAGGCUCAACUUGAUCUGGCUCAAAUUUGUAAAAAAAAAAAAUGUUGUUACUUUGUCAUUGUUUUACUGUCAUUUCGCUAUUAUAUUAUUACUAUUUUAUUGUUUUUGUUUAGAUAUUGUAUAAUUAUUUUUUUAUUGUUGAUUUGGCUACUAUUUUAGAACCAUUUGCUUACUAAGUUGCACUUAUAUCUUGGUGUUAGUUAAGUAUAAAUAUCUUUUAAAAAUUUGUUUUCAAUUUAUUGGGAAACAUUUAUUGCUCCAACUGACCUAUGGAUAGCUCUAGUUCAAUCCUUUUGCCCGAAUUGAUAUAUCAAUUGAUUUAUUGGUUCAACUAAUUCGAUUAGUUGAUUUUAUUUGAUUUGAUUCAAAAACACUAAGUGUUAUUUCAAGUUUAACUUAAUUUAUAUUUGUGUUGAUAGUUUAAAUUAUUUUAAUUUUAAAUCAUUCAAAUUCAACACUUAAUUUUUUGGGUCAGAUCGUUUUAGGACUAUUUCAUAUUAUAAUUUUAUAAAAAGGAAGUUGAACUGAAUAAUAUUUAAGUUUUUGAGUUGAAAUUCAAAUCAAUGUUAUUAAAUUGGGUCAUAAUUAAUAGGUGUACUAGAAUCUAAUUACAAAUAUAUAUCUAUAAGAUAAAACCAAAAAUAAAGGAUUAACAUCUGACCAAGUAUUGACAAUGCAUUGUUAUCCACAAAUUUAAUUAGAUACAAAACAAGAUAAACACUGUAAUGUGAAUUUCGUAUGUUAACUUAACGGUUAGGAUAUUCAUCGCUUCAAAUGUGAUUUGGGAUUGAGUCACAUUAUCUCUAAUAUGUCCUCUACCAAAGAAAAUGGAGGACUAAAGUUUGAAAUCUUAUUUAGUAUUUACAGCCAUGAUCAAUUUCUCUUUAUGAUCUCCACCCAUACAAUAAAUGUGAAAAGUGUAGCAGUACGAAUACCAUGUUUUUAUAGGGGCCGCCAUUCAAGAAUAUAUUACUUCCUCUGAACCUGACACUAAGGCAUGGAUAGCAACUUACAAUGUAUCAAAUUAAACACUAAAAUUAAACUCAUAUAUCAAAUUGAGAUUUAAAAAAAAACACUCAAAUACAAAAUUUGACAUUAAAAUCAAACGCAAGUACCGAAAAAUAUAUUAAUCCAUAUUCAUAAACCUUUUUCUUUGUUUUUGCACCCGUCAAAAUUCCAAGACUUACAUAUCUCUAAUUAAGAGCAUCAUCAUUUACAAAAAUUAAAAAAUUAAUCCCUCUACUUUAAUUUGUUAUAAUUUGUCCCACGUAAGUUAUAACAACCGAAAAGUUAAUCUAAUUAAGUAAUAUUGUUAAACCUUAUCAUUGAAUUGUUUGUUUGGAAACCAGCAAUUUAACAACUUAUAUGCAACAAAUUAACAAAACUCAUUUGUUCAAGUUCAUGUUUUGAAUAACACCUGGACUAAAUUUCCAAUUUUCAUAUGCUACAAUGACUAAAUUUUGACAAAUUAAAGUAGAGGGACCAACUUCUCAAUUUUCAUAAAGUAGGGGAUGAAAAUCAUAAUUAGACCAUGUAUAUGUUCUAUCGUGUGAGUUGGGGCCUGUUUUAUAGUAUACUUCUACAGUAAGGACAGUCCCCACACGUUCUGAGCCAAGGAUCUAAGCAAGCAAAGUGAAACCUGUGCCCACACGGCAGCUGAGUAAGCACAUCUCCUUCUCCG